GACGUGAGACAAACUCCGGGAAACUGGGGCUGAUCCACGAUAGAUGACUUCAUCUGGAAGGAGAGGUCGUCCAAAAGGCGGCGCGAGUAUGCUUCGCGUCUUCCGCUCCAGGAUGGGACUGCGGCCGAUCAGGCUGUUGGCGGGGUAAUGGCCCACCAAACCCUGUAACCGGUACGGGCUUUGAGAGAAGGAGCCCGGAGAUGGACACUGAGACAAGGGUCCAGGCCCUACGGGGCGCAUCAGGCGCGAAAACUUCACAAUGCGCGAAAGCGUGAUGAGGCUAGUCCGAGUGCCUUCCGCUGAGGAGGGCUUUUCUCGGCUGUAAAUAGGCCGGGGAAUAAGGGGAGGGCAAGUCUGGUGUCAGCCGCCGCGGUAAUACCAGCUCCUCGAGUGGUCGGGACGAUUAUUGGGCCUAAAGCACCCGUAGCCGGUUCGGUAAGUCCUCUGUCAAAUCCAACCGCUCAACGGUUGGUCCGCAGAGGAUACUGCCGGACUAGGAGGCGGGAGAGGCGGACGGUACUCCGCGUGUAGGGGUAAAAUCCUUUGAUCCGCGGAAGACCACCAGUGGCGAAGGCGGUCCGCCAGAACGCGCUCGACGGUGAGGGGUGAAAGCUGGGGGGAGCGAACCGGAUUAGAUACCCCGGGUAGUCCCAGCCGUAAACGAUGCGAGCUAGAUGAUUCGAUCGCAUAUAGCGAUCGAAGUGUCGCAGGGAAGCCGUUAAGCUCGCCGCCUGGGGGAGUACGGUCGCAAGGCUGAAACUUAAAGGAAUUGGCGGGGGAG
Molecule: ribosomal RNA, 781 nt
Filed under: uncultured archaeon
Lineage: Archaea
Description: bacterial SSU rRNA
Rfam family: Archaeal small subunit ribosomal RNA
Source: RNAcentral